AACGAACGCUGGCGGCAUGCCUAACACAUGCAAGUCGAACGAGACCUUCGGGUCUAGUGCCGAACGGGUGCUUAACGCGUGGGAACCUGCCCUUAGGUUCGGAAUAACUCCCCGAAAGGGGUGCUAAUACCGGAUAAUGUCUUCCGACCAAAGAUUUAUCGCCUUUGGAUGGGCCCGCGUUGGAUUAGCUAGUUGGUAGGGUAAAAGCCUACCAAGGCGACGAUCCAUAGCUGGUCUGAGAGGAUGAUCAGCCACACUGGGACUGAGACACGGCCCAGACUCCUACGGGAGGCAGCAGUGGGGAAUAUUGGACAAUGGGCGAAAGCCUGAUCCAGCAAUGCCGCGUGAGUGAUGAAGGCCUUAGGGUUGUAAAGCUCUUUUACCCGGGAUGAUAAUGACAGUACCGGGAGAAUAAGCUCCGGCUAACUCCGUG
Molecule: ribosomal RNA, 433 nt
Filed under: uncultured bacterium
Lineage: Bacteria
Description: partial 16S ribosomal RNA
Rfam family: Bacterial small subunit ribosomal RNA
Source: RNAcentral